AUUGAACGCUGGCGGCGGGCUUAACACAUGCAAGUCGAGCGGGGUGAUGGUGCUUGCACUAUCACUUAGCGGCGGACGGGUGAGUAAUGCUUAGGAAUCUGCCUAUUAGUGGGGGACAACAUCUCGAAAGGGAUGCCAAUACCGCAUACGUCCUACGGGAGAAAGCAGGGGAUCUUCGGACCUUGCGCUAAUAGAUGAGCCUAAGUCGGAUUAGCUAGUUGGUGGGGUAAAGGCCUACCAAGGCGACGAUCUGUAGCGGGUCUGAGAGGAUGAUCCGCCACACUGGACUGAGACACGGCCCAGACUCCUACGGGAGGCAGCAGUGGGGAAUAUUGGACAAUGGGGGGAACCCUGAUCCAGCCAUGCCGCGUGUGUGAAGAAGGCCUUAUGGUUGUAAAGCACUUUAAGCGAGGAGGAGGCUACUCUAGUUAAUACCUAGGGAUAGUGGACGUUACUCGCAGAAUAAGCACCGGCUAACUCUGUGCCAGCAGCCGCAGUAA
This 500-nucleotide ribosomal RNA is filed under the name uncultured bacterium. Its description in RNAcentral is "partial 16S ribosomal RNA". It matches the Rfam family "Bacterial small subunit ribosomal RNA", at positions 30 to 523 of the family's 1533-position model. The record is from RNAcentral.